AUGGCUCAGAACGUACGCUGGCGGCACGCUUAACACAUGCAAGUCGAACGAAGUAGCAAUACUUAGUGGCAGACGGGUGAGUAACAUGUGGGUAUCUGCCCUUUGGCCUGGAAUAACACGAGGAAACUUGUGCUAAUACCGGAUAAGUCUUUACGGAGAAAGCUUUAUGCACCAUUGGAUGAGCCCGCACUUGAUUAGUUUGUUGGUGGGGUAAUGGCCUACCAAGACUGUGAUCAAUAGCUGAUUUGAGAGGAUGAUCAGCCACAUUGGGACUGAGACACGGCCCAAACUCCUACGGGAGGCAGCAGUGGGGAAUCUUGCACAAUGGAGGAAACUCUGAUGCAGCGAUGCCGCGUGAGUGAAGAAGGCCCUUGGGUUGUAAAGCUCUUUCGUCGGGGAAGAAAAUGACUGUACCCGAAUAAGAAGGUCCGGCUAACUUCGUGCCAGCAGCCGCGGUAAUACGAAGGGACCUAGCGUAGUUCGGAAUUACUGGGCUUAAAGAGUUCGUAGGUGGUUGAAAAAGUUAGUGGUGAAAUCCCAGAGCUUAACUCUGGAACUGCCAUUAAAACUUUUCAGCUAGAGUAUGAUAGAGGAAAGCAGAAUUUCUAGUGUAGAGGUGAAAUUCGUAGAUAUUAGAAAGAAUACCAAUUGCGAAGGCAGCUUUCUGGAUCAUUACUGACACUGAGGAACGAAAGCAUGGGUAGCGAAGAGGAUUAGAUACCCUCGUAGUCCAUGCCGUAAACGAUGUGUGUUAGACGUUGGAAAUUUAUUUUCAGUGUCGCAGCGAAAGCGAUAAACACACCGCCUGGGGAGUACGACCGCAAGGUUAAAACUCAAAUGAAUUGACGGGGACCCGCACAAGUAGUGGAGCAUGUGGUUUAAUUCGAAGAUACGCGCAGAACCUUACCAACACUUGACAUGUUCGUCGCGACUCUAAGAGAUUAGAGUUUUCGGUUCGGCCGGACGAAACACAGGUGCUGCAUGGCUGUCGUCAGCUCGUGUCGUGAGAUGUUGGGUUAAGUCCCGCAACGAGCGCAACCCUCACUUUUAGUUGCCAUCAUUAAGUUGGGCACUCUGAAAGAACUGCCAGUGAUAAGCUGGAGGAAGGUGGGGAUGACGUCAAGUCCUCAUGGCCCUUACGUGUUGGGCUACACACGUGCUACAAUGGUAUCUACAACAGGAAGCAAGACUGCGAGGUCAAGCAAAUCCUUAAAAGAUACCUCAGUUCGGAUUGCACUCUGCAACUCGAGUGCAUGAAGCUGGAAUUACUAGUAAUCGUGGAUCAGCGUGCCACGGUGAAUGCGUUCCCGGGUCUUGUACACACCGCCCGUCACACCAUGGGAGUUGGUUCUACCUUAAGGCAAGG
Molecule: ribosomal RNA, 1366 nt
Filed under: Candidatus Pelagibacter ubique HIMB4
Lineage: Bacteria; Pseudomonadati; Pseudomonadota; Alphaproteobacteria; Candidatus Pelagibacterales; Candidatus Pelagibacteraceae
Also listed under: 1 other name
Description: 16S ribosomal RNA
Rfam family: Bacterial small subunit ribosomal RNA
Source: RNAcentral